GUCUGACCGAGGCAGAACAUUAAGAUUAAUUGAAGAUUAAGGAGAGACAUGAUUGCAGGUAUGAAUUAUCUGAAAGUUUGUGAGGCAGAAGAUGGAGCAGACUAAAUAAGUGGAAAUUGCAGGGAAAUGGGUUUUGGUUCAAUAGCAGGAGGAUCUAGAUACUACAUGUAGCAGGGCUGUUCCACAGUGAAGCAGAAUGUCUCGGGAUGUGAGGUGGUAGAGAGAUGGAGGUGUGUAAGCUUUAUGUUCUUUGUGGCUUUAUUCUGUAUUUUAUGCUGUGAACUGUCCUGAGAACUUCAGGUGAAGGUUGCUAUAUAAAUUUAAUCAGUCAUCAUCAUCAUCAUCAUCAUCUUGGCCCAGUAGCAAAAUAGCAACCAGUGCAGGUCUCUGAGCAAAGAUGUUGUGUGCUGUCAGGGUAGUCCCAGAACUUUUACUUUAUGCCAGGCCUGAGCCUUGGAAGUUAUGAAAUAAUAGAAAGGUGUGGCUCUCAGCACAGCCUGAGAUUCUUUGCCUACCCAGUGAUUGGUAUUCAGAAUCAGCACCCACAUAAGCUUGGAUUGAGAGAAAGACUUUCCAAGUCAGAGGCUAGGACUUGCAAACAGACUUUAGCCCCAGAACGUCUCAUUUUAUGAAUUAAGUACUGGAAAUGCCUUGCUUAAUAAGGUCAGGCAUGUGAUCAACAGAGAAGGGCCCAGAAGGAGCUGGUGUUAAUGUAUAAACCAGGAUUUCUCAGGCAGUAACAGAAAGAGGCCAGAGCUUGUGGGGGAGCCAGCUUGCAUUCCUAGGCAGCAGAAGAAAAAUUAGAUCAACAGAGAUCUGGGCUUGCUGGCCUCGGCCCACCCGCCUUUGCUCUCUUCCCUUUUCAUUGCCUCUUGGUUGGCCAGUUUUAAUUAUUGCACUCUCCAUAUUUUAGGCUUUGAGUCCUCUCCGAUGCUCUGAUUGAUUAGUUCUAGCCUUGAAGCCCAAACAUGCUAAACAGCAAGGAUUUUAUAGGAGCUGUGUCAGGUUGGUGGCUUGAAGAAAACCACUUUUUCUCAAGGCUGAAGCCUGUCCCUGCAAAAUCAAUAAUGGACCCCAAGGGAGAGAGGAGAGCAACGGAGGGUGGGUGGGUCUAGGGCAAAUGAGCCCAAAUCUCUGCUGAUCUAAUUUCUGAUUUGCUUUGCUGGGAUGUGGCAUAUGUGUGUGGAAAGCUUUAGAUGCAUAUGUCACCUCUAAACUAUUCUCUGUACAUAGUUUGCAGGGAUCUGCGUAUGCCAUGAAUGUUGAAAAUGCUAAAAUACACCAUCUGACUUGGAAUCAACAAACCUGAGCAGGCCAAACAGGAAAGUGCAUAAAUGAGAUUUGGUUUGGAGAGGUAAGAGCGUUUUCACACCUGACACUGGAAAUGCCUUCGAGCUCAUUUGCUCUUUGUAGCUUUGUGUAUGGAUGGAAAGUGGGAGCAAUUUGCUUCUAAGUAGAUUGUGCAAUGCAUAUGAAAUUCAAAUCGCCCUUAAAAAAGCUUGGACUUUGGGUUCUAGUCCAAGUUGUGAGAUGGGAAGGUAUCCUAAUCUGGAAGCAAGGGAAAUCCUGGAUGUACUUCUAGGCAGUGCUUUUUUCCUAGAAAAAUAGGUGCCGGUACCCACCAUGAAGUUGUUACAGUAAGUGCCACACUUUUUAACAACAAAAAGAGGUGCUGGUACUGAGUACUCUUGAGUACCCCCUGAAAAAAGCACUGCUUCAAGGUACAGUAAUGAGCAAAUUUUAGUGAUUUUAAAAAGAAUGACGCACAGUGUACAAAAACUCUUAAAUUCUGUUCUCAAGGCUCAGGUGUCCCUGUUCUGAUACAGUGGUACCUCAGGUUACAUACGCUUCAGGUUACACAUGCUUCAGGUUACACACUCCAUUAACCCAGAAAUAGUACCUAGGGUUAAGAACUUUGCUUCAGGAUGAGAACAGAAAUCGUGCUCCAGCAGCGCGGCGGCAGUGGGAGGCCCCAUUAGCUAAAGUGGUGCUUCAGGUUAAGAACAGUUUCAGGUUAAGUACAGACCUCUGGAACGAAUUAAAUACUUAACCUGAGGUACCACUGUAUUACAUUAAGACACAAUUGAUGUUUGAGUGCUUCUGUUUCCUAUUCCAUCAGUUACUUCCACAAUCUCUUCAUGACCAGAUUUGACAUAGAGUACAUAUGCAGGUGGCGCUGUGGUCUAAACCACAGAGGCUAGGGCUUGCUGAUGAGAAGGUUGGCGGUUCGAAUCCCCGCAAUGGGGUGAGCUCCCAUUGCUCGGUCCCAGCUCCUGCAAACCUAGCAGCUUGAAAGCACAUCAAAAUGCAAGUAGAUAAAUAGGUACCGCUCUGGCGGAAAGGUAAAUGGCGUUUCCGUGCUCUACUCUGGUUUGCCAGAAGCGGCUUAAUCAUGCUGGCCUCAUGACCCGGAAGCUGUCUGUGGACAAAUGCCGGCUCCCUCAGCCAAUAAAGUGAGAUGAGCGCCGCAACCCCAGAGUCAUCCGCGACUGGACUUAACAGUCAGGGGUCCCUUUACCUUUACCUUACAUAUGCGAUAGAGAGCUGUGAUCAGUUCUGGCUCCCUGAAAAGUAGUCCUGUUUUCAAACUUUUGUUUAUCGCUUCCACACAAACAGGAUAUGACAAAUCUGGUCUCACAGAUUAUGCAGACUAAUAAACUGUGUCAGUACCUGCCUGGCAGAAGUGGCAAAAAUUAAUUUUCCAGACAUGUUAAAGGGAAAACUUCUGUUCCUGUUCUCUGAAUUUUAAAAAUAUGAACUUUAAUAUGGACUUUCCCCAGCCAGUAUUGUGCAGUAACAGAAAAGUUAUUUCUUCUUGUAACUAAAGUGGUAGUUUAUAACUACAAAUUUCUACUUGGCGUAGUUUCUCAGCUAAGCUUAACUGUGUACAGUAUUGUUAUUUCAUGUCAUGGUGGUGUUAGAGAUUAUUGAGUGCAGGAAUGUACUCAAGAAUUAAUGUCUGCUAGUGGGUUUCAGGGUGCUGGAAUGUAAUGAAGGAUGAACUGCUGUGUUUUGGGGAGACGUGGGCCAUAGUAACAAUUUCCAGAAUGUUUUAACUUCCAGUCUGUUGCUGCAAAACAAGUCUUGUGGGCACUUUAAAGAGUAACAGAUUUAUUGUAUCAUAAGCUUAUUUUUUAUUAUAAAUAUACAAAACGUCCAUAAAAAUAUCACAAAUGCACCACGUAUAAACAUUACCGAUAAGAGUCUUGGGUUGCAUAAGCUUUCACGGACUAAAUAGCAUGGUCACUCGUCCAUGAAAGCUUAUGCUACAAUAAAUCUGGUGCCACAAGAGUCUUUGUGGUUUUGGAAUACGGGUUGUAGAAUGGAGCUAUUUCAGGUUUCAGAAAGAAUCUGUUUUUAGCCUUGUUGGGCUGAGCACUUAAAUGUGGCAUCCUAAAGCAUGGAUACCAGUUAACUAGAAUAGUGCAAAAACACCACCACAGUUUCUGCCACUCACUGAUCAUUCGCAGAGCACAUGGCCUAAUAUCUAACCAACAUUAAGCACUGUUGCCCCCAUUGGUUUCAGUGGGAGAGAUACAAAUAAGCAUGCACUGAAUGCUUCUAUUUAAAUAAAUGUGACUUGGAAGUUCCAAACUGUGGCUGCGUUUCAAGCUUACAUACUUCAGCCAUAUUUGACAGUGCUUUGGUUCUGGAUGGGGCUGUGCAACCUAAAAGCAUGCACCUCUUUCGACUUCUGCUCUAAUCCUAUGCCCACUUACCAGGGAGUAAGCCCAAUUGAACUCAAAGAGACAAACUACUGAGCAGACUUGUCUAGAAUUGUACUGUAAUUGAGCAGGAUCCACAUAGGCACAGCAUCUCAAGUAUUUGCCUUCAUCCUAGCUGAAGGACAUAGAGCCACAUGGGUGAAACCAGCACAAGGGAAUAUUCUGUGGGAGAACUCUUAGACCCGCCUCUUGAAAUUCCUCCGUCAAAGGAUUCACAUCAAUUGUCUGUGAAACUGUUUCACCUGCGUUAUCUCUGCAUGAGUUUUUUCUGUGCCUAAAUGCCUCUAAGCAUGAUGGUUCCCACAACAAAACUUUCCAGGCGGUUUCUUUACAUGCUGAUGCAUGUGGGAUGCUUUUUCUUUCUACUCUUCUGAGAGAAGAGAGGCAAGAUCUGUCUGUCUCCUAUCUCUGUUCCUUCAUCACCACACAGAGACACUAAUAAUCAUGGAGCAGGAAUGCAUUGUGCAGACAGAGGAGGCCAGCAUACACAACUGUGGUCUGCAUAACAAGAUUUAGUGUACUAAUAUGUUUUUUGAAUUGUACAUAAAUAGAAUGACCUGUCCCUGAAGACUCAGAGAAGAUCUGCAACAGGAUCUGGAAUACUUUGAAAUCGUACAUUGUUUAAUUCAGGGGUUGGAGGCUAGUGAGGCUUUCCCCCCCUCCCUCCCCCAAGGGGGAACUGGCAGAGCUGGCUGAAGUGGGACAUGGUUUAAAGGAAACUGCUGGGCUGGAUCAGUCUGAUUAUCCAUCUCGCCCAAAUCCUGUCUCUAGGGCCUUGUACUCAUGAACUGUAGCAGUUAGUGGUAAGGAAACACAACAUCUGUGCUAUUUGAAGUUGGGGAAGGCUGACCAUGUAAAUGCUCAAGCCUGCUUAUUACAGUGAUGUAAUAACUUAUCUUGUUUCACAGCAGCUAACCACUAGCAUGCAAUAAAAUCAACAGGUCACCUAGAUACUUACUUGGGAGUAACCCCCAUUGAACUAAAAAAUCAUUCUGUCUGCAAGUCUGUUUAGAAAUGGAAACAUACAAUGGCCGCUGAACCUUACACUAUACACCUUUGUUGCCUAUAGGUAAAGGGACCCCUGAACAUUAGGUCCAGUCGUGACUGACUCUGGGGUUGCGGCACUCAUCUCGCUUUAUUGGCCGAGGGAGCCAGUGUACAGCUUCUGGGUCAUGUGGCCAGCAUGACUAAGCUGCUUCUGGCAAACCAGAGCAGUGCACAGAAACACCGUUUAGCUUCCCGCCGGAGCGGUACCUAUUUAUCUACUUGCACUUUGAUGUGCUACCGAACUGCUAGGUUGGCAGGAGCAGGGACCAUGCAACGGGAGCUCACUCCGUCGCAGAGAUUUGAACCAUCAACCUUCUGAUCUGCAAGUCCUAGGCUCUGUGGUUUCACCCACAGCACCACCCGUGUCCCUUGUUGCCUAUAAGACUCUGUUAAAUUGUUGCCUAUGGGCAGCACCAGAUUUAGUGUGGUGCUGGUAGCUCUCCCGCACAGGGGGCGCAAGGUGCAAAAUUGAGAAGAUCCAUUUGGGGGCACCAAACUUUGGACAGGGCGCCAUAUUACAGAAGAUCAACAAGGUCCGCUCUGCUAUGGGGGUACAUGAAGUUAUCUGUGUGAAUGAGGAUAUAGAUCAAGAGAAGAAAGUGAGCAAUAAACAAACAUGGAGGAAAUGGGAAGUUCCUAUAUCCUUGCCAUCUUCAACAUAUUGUGCAUAUUAUUAUUAUUAUUUAAAUGACGACGACAAACAUGCACAUCAGCAUGGGGAAGUUUGUGAUGCUGUCAUGUCAUUUGGCUAUGCUACAUAGGUUAUGCUACGUUUGGACUAAUCAGCACACAGGUCUGUUAUAUGGGGAGAGAUUCUCCAAGCUCCACCUAUCUAUCUUUAGUUGGUCCUGACCUUGGCUGUGUGUUUUGCUCAGAGAAGAAGACAGGAGACUUUCACAGCGGAACAGGCUACCCACAGCCUAAACAACACACAGGAGCCAAGACAGCAAGAGGGUGAAGUGCUGGGAAGUGUUUACAUCUCCCUGCUCCAGAGAGUAUGACCUCACUAACUAUUCUAAAUACGGGAGAUAAGGCACUGCUGCUGUUGCUCACCCUUCUCUCAGAUAAAAUAAGCCGGUGCAUGAGGCACCAGAGCAUUUCUUGAAGGGUACAGGAAUACUAGACCAAAAUGCUGCUUUAAAUAAUUGUUCAUAAUGGAAACGACAAACAGGUUGGCUAUAAAGAGUUUCCCCCACCCACUCGUCCACAUUUUCCUCAAGUGCUGUCAGCUUCCAUGAGCUUUUCAAUGCUGCCACAAAUGCCCAAAUAAUAAUAAAAAAAGCUUCCAUAUAAGAACAUCCCUCCGGGCUGCUUGCCAAAGGCGACCAAUGACAGGGCCUGCAAGGAAGGAUGACCCAACAAACCACUAACAUGACUGACUGCCAGCAUGUGGAUUUGAUGACCAGCACCGCUGUGACGGAAACCCAUCCCCCAGGCAGGCUGCCAAGUUGAAGAACAGGCUCAGCUGCUUAGAAAAGGGCUCAUUUAUUUUGUUCACAAAUGUGCUCUUAAACUAUGGGUUUUUAUGAAGUGAAUGUAAGCUGCCUUGAGAAUUUCCUGCUGAAAGGUAGGAUACACAACUGAAAUUAAGUAAAGAUAAACAUCUUGCCCACUGUGUCUCUGGCAUCACAUCUGCACCAAAUUUAAAACACAUGGCUUCCCCCCAAGAAUCCUGGAAACUAGCUUGCCCCUUACCAAGCUACAAUUCCCAGCACCCUUAACAAACUACAGCUCCCAUUACUACCAAGACUAAUGAUAGCGGAUAAUAGUUACAUAUUUUGUUCCUACAACUGUAUUGUGUGGAAAGCCAUUAUUACUCCUGUUUUACAAGUAGGAAAUAAAUACUGAAUUAUAACAAUGGGAUGAAGGCUAC
This 6645-nucleotide long non-coding RNA is filed under the name Podarcis lilfordi (Lilford's wall lizard). Lineage: Eukaryota; Metazoa; Chordata; Lepidosauria; Squamata; Lacertidae. The record is from RNAcentral.